Molecule: long non-coding RNA, 428 nt
Filed under: Vigna radiata
Lineage: Eukaryota; Viridiplantae; Streptophyta; Magnoliopsida; Fabales; Fabaceae
Description: long non-coding RNA (VRAD_LNC009511)
Source: RNAcentral
UUGUGACUCUAAAUUCAGAAGCAGAAGCAAGAAUGUCGAAAAGUGGAAUGUUAUGGAUAUCCUUUGGAAACUUGGCGUCUGCAUUUGCUGUUCAUAAAUAUUGUGUUUGGAAGAAUCAGAAACUCAAUUUCUCCAAACCUGAAUCUUCUUCAAUUCAUCCUUCUUCUUUAAUCCAAAGUUUUCAACUUCGUAAGUGGAAUUUCUGUUCUCUGUUGAGUUUUCAUACUAUCUUACUGUUAUGAUUUCAGAAUAUGCUAAUGAAUACUUUUAAAUUAUAUUAUGUUUGUUUCUCUUUGACAGGUGGACUUUCUAUGGAAGACUUGAUAGAUAUCGCUAUGACCUGAAGCAAGCUUGGAUUUCUUUUGCCUUCUUUUCUGGUUUUCAUGUAACAUCUUUCCUUUUAAGGAAUAUACAUGUUUUUGUUUUUG